Molecule: long non-coding RNA, 2202 nt
Organism: Acanthopagrus latus (yellowfin seabream)
Lineage: Eukaryota; Metazoa; Chordata; Actinopteri; Spariformes; Sparidae
Exons: 12
Source: RefSeq, a predicted model, not a curated record
CAAUGUUAAAGUAGCGUCUGUGGAAAGACUAACACGGGAGGCAGAAUAAACGUCUUUCAAAACACGAAUGGAUCGUGAGGACCUACUUUAACUACAUCACUCUGAAAUGAGAACUGGCCAGCCUUGUGGACUGAGAGACAUCAACAGGCAUCCUUGGUUAGAGUGGAGGGACAGAAAGUUCAUUCCUGAGUGACGGAGUCUAGUUCCGGAGGUGGAGUAGCUGUGACAGAGACACCACUCAUCCUAUUACAAGACACUGAACCGUCAACAUGAAGUCGAAGCUGCUAUUUAAGGUCGGACUGCUUCAGUAACGAGGGUCAGUACAAAGCUGGCUUUGUCUCGACACUGACCCUCGUAAAAGGGUCAGUCCCAACCAUAAGAGACCCAGGAACUGCACCCGAGCCACAGGUGUUCAGGCUACUGUGUCCUGCAAGGAUUUUGGUGUUGGGACAUCCACUGCAGACCCUUUCCGUUUUUCCUCAACACCUGUAAAGAGACCCUCAAAAAGACCUCGUCUGGAGCUUGAAGAGGAGCUGCAGGACGAUCCAUUAGAGGGCAGCUCUUCAGUGGCAGCUUCAAAGGGGCAGGAUCCCACCUAUGAUCCUGCAGAGUCCGUCACAGCGCUGUCAGAGUCAACACUUUAGUCACAAGAAUCAUCCGCUCCCACCCACAAGAUCAGAAAAUCCAUAGUCCAUUCCUGUCCGUGGAGCAGCGAUGCCCCCAUUGUGAUUUCUACACACACUGGAAUAGCCGGCCUAUCCAUGGGAGCACACCAGCUGGGAACCUCCACCUUUCGGCAGCUGGGUACCUGAGAGGUGCAUCCUUGAAAAUUGCACGGGUCUUCAAGGCGAUGGAGCUGCAACUUUUUCAGUACAACACAUUUCGCCGGCAUGCCAGAUCUUUCACUGAACCUGCAGUCAUUCACCAGCGGAAAACAUUACAGGAUGUGAUGCUGCAGCGGCUCAGUCAGGAGAGCAAAGUUCUAGUUGGUGGCGACAUGAGAGCCGACUCUGCAGAGCAAUGAGGCUGGUGGUAGUUACCACAUGGAAAAAGAGGGCCUGAGGAGGAGUCUGGCACUGCUGGAAGAACGUGGCAUUAAUCUUGACUGCAUUGUUACCAGCCGUCAUCCACAAAUUCAAAAGUUCCUCAGGGAGAGAAACAUCACCCACUACUAUGAUGUGUGGCACAUGGCAAAAGGGAUUUCAAAGAAAAUAGGCAAGAUCAUUAAGGAGAAAGAGUGUCAGAAACUACAGAAGUGGAUGAGAAGCAUCAACAAUCACAUCUACUGGACUGCAGCUGCCUCAUCCACUGGGCCAGAGAGAGUCGCAAAAUGGACCUCAGUCCUGAACCACGUGCAGGACGUCCACACACACGAUGACCCUCUUUAGCCCAAGUGCCUGCAUGAGCUCCACCAGACACGGGACAAAAACAAAUGGCUCAGAGCAGUCUUUGUUUUAUGAAUGUUUUAGGUGUUUCAACCUGACAAAAAGCUGUUGGCCAACAAAAUAACUCUGAAGGAUGUGGCAAAACUGAGCCCUCACCACCAGACUUCAUCUGUGGAGACAUUCCAUAGUGUGAUCGUUCGCUUUGCCCCAAAGAAUGUUGUUUUUCCCUUUAUUGUAAUGCUGUGCAGACUGUACCUGGCUGCCAUGUAUUACAAUGAAAAUGCAGACAGACCACAGGCCAAAACCCAGGAAGGUGUACCUCUCUACAAGGUCUACUUUCCAAAGGCUAUGAGGGGACAGUGCAGAGCCAAAGCCUACAAGACAGAGCCAACACUCCGUUAGUGGUAUGUCCCAGAGGAUUUGACCGCCCGGUAUGAACAUCCUGACAAGGAGGAGGUCAUUGCCAGUUAUGUGUCCAGGUUCAACCGAGGGCCAGUCUAAAUCCAACGUUGUGGCCUUCGGCAUCAGGAAACUCUCUGCGGAUGCGUAGGACCACACAAACUGGAAUGACUACCCGGAUUCUGCUUCCCAGGCAGCCCCAGCACCAGCUCACAAAACUGCCAUAUGGUAGAUACCUGUAACGACUAUAAACAAUGGACACAAUGUUUAGUCUUGUAGAAAUGUAUUUAAACUGUGUAUUACAAUUUUUCUAAUGUUGAUUGCCUGAUAGGUUUGCCCUGUGUUUGAAUUAUUGUUUAAUUAUUGUUUUGGGGUGCAUUGUUGCAUGUAAAUAAAUGCUUGUGUGUGUCUACAAAAA